CCUUUUGAUGAGGGAGUCGCGGACGAGCGCCGAGACGUGGGGGCGGUCGGUGAGGAGCUGGUCGGCGUUGAACUGGGCGACGACGGCCUUGAGCACCUCGUUCCCGAUGGAGGGGAGCACCUUGUCGUCGUACUCGAGGCCGAGGGAGGUGAAGAUGGUGGGCAGGUUGACGACGUCAGGGCGGGAGAGGAGGCGGAGGGUGAGGUUUACCAUCUGCAGAUCCUUGGUGCCGGAGUUGGAGGAGAAGUUGUGCGGGCGGGUGCGGAUGUCGAAGAUGUAGGGCUUCUGGAGCCACGGCACGAUGAAGUGGGUGCCCUCGCCGACGGUGUCCGGCAGCACCCCGCGGAACCGGUCGAAGACGACGGCGCGCUCGCCGCCGUCCACGGUGU
Molecule: long non-coding RNA, 389 nt
Filed under: Hordeum vulgare
Lineage: Eukaryota; Viridiplantae; Streptophyta; Magnoliopsida; Poales; Poaceae
Description: long non-coding RNA (HVUL_LNC004971)
Source: RNAcentral